AUUGAUCAUGACUCGCAGAUGACCCCUAUUGAUUUUGAGGUUACUAGGUCAAAGGUCAAGGUCACGGUGACCCGAAAUAGUAAAAUGGUUUCCGGAUGAUAACUCAAGAAUGCAUACGCCUAGGAUCAUGAAACUUCAUGGGUAGAUUGAUCAUGACUCGCAGAUGACCCCUAUUGAUUUUGAGGUCACUAGGUCAAAGGUCAAGGUCACAGUGAUCCAAAAUAGUAAAAUGGUUUUCGGAUGAUAACUCAAGAACGCAUAUGCCUAGGAUCAUGAAACUUCACAGGUAGAUUGAUCAUGACUCGCAGAUGACCCCUAUUGAUUUUGAGGUCACAAGGUCAAGGUCACGGUGAC
Dreissena polymorpha is the source of this 354-nucleotide long non-coding RNA. RefSeq lists it as uncharacterized. The transcript is spliced from 2 exons. The record is from RefSeq and is a predicted model, not a curated record. Lineage: Eukaryota; Metazoa; Mollusca; Bivalvia; Myida; Dreissenidae.